CAUUAUGCUACAGUGCUGGCAAGAGAGUCCGUAUGAUCGCCCAACUUUUAAAGAGCUCCAUUCGAAACUUCAUUCAAUCCUGUACGAGACCUCGGUUACAUACAUAAACAUUUCCUAUUCAGACGGACAGAGAGAUGACUUAGGUGUUCAAGAGUUCUCUAAUGGGUGAUCAUGGCGUUGACAUUCAUAGACAGCGGAGCAGGGUUUGGGGAGCUGAGCUCUAGCCUCCUCAACGCGUUUAGGUCCAGAAAAUAUGGUCAUCACAGGAUAAAACUGGUUCGACAACGUUUUCUGCCUUUCGAUCUCCUGAAAAAAUCCUCUCACAAGGAUUGUGCUUCGCGACAUGAUAAAUUGAAGAAUGUCUAUUUCGACAACGUAAAUAUCUACUACGGACACAACCUUUGUAAACAAACAGCGUGCGAAUACCGAGGCUCUCAUUAUCAGUCACGGUGGUCUUUCCAACGGGUAAAGGGUACUUAUAGGGUAAAGGGCACUUAUAAGAUAAAAAAUAAAGCUGCUUCCGAAAACCA
Molecule: long non-coding RNA, 530 nt
Organism: Stylophora pistillata
Lineage: Eukaryota; Metazoa; Cnidaria; Anthozoa; Scleractinia; Pocilloporidae
Source: RefSeq, a predicted model, not a curated record